RNAcentral lists this ribosomal RNA (253 nucleotides) under bacterium. Its description in RNAcentral is "partial 16S ribosomal RNA". It matches the Rfam family "Bacterial small subunit ribosomal RNA", at positions 524 to 776 of the family's 1533-position model. The record is from RNAcentral. RNAcentral also lists the same sequence under 3 other names.
CACGUACUGUGCGAACGUUAUUCGGAAUCACUGGGCUUAAAGGGUGCGUAGGCGGCAAUUCAAGUCAGGUGUGAAAUGCCUGAGCUCAACUGAGGCAUUGCGCUUGAAACUGAACUGCUUGAGUAUCCCAGGGGUGUGCGGAACUGCCAGUGGAGCGGUGAAAUGUGUUGAUAUUGGCAGGAACACCGGAGGCGAAAGCGGCACACUGGGGGAUAACUGACGCUGAGGCACGAAAGCCAGGGGAGCGAACGGG